Podarcis lilfordi (Lilford's wall lizard) is the source of this 77-nucleotide non-coding RNA. The record is from the annotation of a GenBank genome assembly. NCBI's taxonomy places the organism in Eukaryota, Metazoa, Chordata, Lepidosauria, Squamata, Lacertidae.
GCCCUGAGGGAUAGCUUGGUUGGCAGAGCAUGAGACUCUUAAUCUCAGGCUUGUGGGUUCGAGUCCCAUGUUGGGUG